Spea bombifrons (plains spadefoot toad) is the source of this 140-nucleotide long non-coding RNA. RefSeq lists it as uncharacterized. NCBI's taxonomy places the organism in Eukaryota, Metazoa, Chordata, Amphibia, Anura, Pelobatidae. The record is from RefSeq and is a predicted model, not a curated record. The transcript is spliced from 2 exons.
CAUAGUGAUGAGGGAGUAGUAAAGCUGAAGUGACAGACCUUGCACACACACCACAGGAUACAGGAUGGAGGCAGAAGGAAGAAGGAUGAAGCAUGGUGGAAGAGAUGGCGAUAUUUACUUUCUUUUCAUUUAAAAAUUAC